CAAGUCGAACGAUUAAAGCUCUCUUCGGAGAGUGCAUAGAGUGGCGCACGGGUGAGUAACACGUAAGUAAUCUACCUUCGAGUGGGGAAUAACGUCCGGAAACGGACGCUAAUACCGCAUAAUGCAGCGGCAUCGUAAGAUGACAGUUGUUAAAGAUUUAUCGCUUGAAGAGGAGCUUGCGGCAGAUUAGCUAGUUGGUAAGGUAAUGGCUUACCAAGGCUACGAUCUGUAACCGGUCUAAGAGGACGGUCGGUCACACUGACACUGAAUAACGGGUCAGACUCCUACGGGAGGCAGCAGUCGGGAAUUUUGGGCAAUGGGCGAAAGCCUGACCCAGCAACGCCGCGUGAAGGAUGAAGUAUUUCGGUAUGUAAACUUCGAAAGAAUAGGAAGAAUAAAUGACGGUACUAUUUAUAAGGUCCGGCUAACUACGUGCCAGCAGCCGCGGUAAUACGUAGGGACCAAGCGUUGUUCGGAUUUACUGGGCGUAAAGGGCGCGUAGGCGGCAAUUCAAGUCAUCUGUGAAAUCUCCGGGCUUAACUCGGAACGGUCAGAUGAUACUGCUUUGCUAGAGUGCGGAAGGGGCAAUCGGAAUUCUUGGUGUAGCGGUGAAAUGCGUAGAUAUCAAGAGGAACACCUGAGGUGAAGACGGGUUGCUGGGCCGACACUGACGCUGAAGCGCGAAAGCCAGGGGAGCAAACGGGAUUAGAUACCCCGGUAGUCCUGGCCCUAAACGAUGAAUACUUGGUGUCUGGAGUCUUUAAUGCUCCGGGUGCCGUCGCUAACGUUUUUAGUAUUCCGCCUGGGGAGUACGCUCGCAAGAGUGAAACUCAAAGGAAUUGACGGGGACCC
RNAcentral lists this ribosomal RNA (852 nucleotides) under uncultured Bacillota bacterium. RNAcentral describes it as "bacterial SSU rRNA". It matches the Rfam family "Bacterial small subunit ribosomal RNA", at positions 58 to 922 of the family's 1533-position model. The record is from RNAcentral. Lineage: Bacteria; Bacillati; Bacillota.